This 397-nucleotide ribosomal RNA is filed under the name uncultured bacterium. Its description in RNAcentral is "partial 16S ribosomal RNA". It matches the Rfam family "Bacterial small subunit ribosomal RNA", at positions 523 to 918 of the family's 1533-position model. The record is from RNAcentral.
AUACGUAGGUGACAAGCGUUAUCCGGAUUUACUGGGCGUAAAGGGCGUGUAGGCGGUCUUGCAAGUCAGAAGUGAAAUUCCUGAGCUCAACUCGGGCGCUGCUUCUGAAACUGCAGGACUUGAGUGCUGGAGGGGAUAGCGGAAUUCCUAGUGGAGCGGUAAAAUGCGCAGGUAUUAGGAAGAACACCGGUGGCGAAGGCGGCUAUCUGGACAGUAACUGACGCUGAGGCGCGAAAGCGUGGGGAGCAAACAGGAUUAGAUCCCCUGGUAGUCCACGCCGUAAACGAUGAAUACUAGGUGUAGGGGGUAUCGACUCCCUCUGUGCCGCAGUUAACACAAUAAGUAUUCCGCCUGGGGAGUACGGCCGCAAGGUUGAAACUCAAAUGAAUUGGCGGGG